UUUCAUGUUGGAUCCUUGACUCUAGGAACCUUUGCAAACCCUAGAUCAUACUUGGUGAGAACCCUAUGUAAAAAGUAAUCAGAUUUGUCAAUCAUACGUACCUCAGAUCUAUGAAACUAUGUACCUAAAAAAAUGCAUGGCAUAUCAUUGCAUUCAUUCACAUUCAAUUUGAUAUGUAUUUUAUCAGGAUGCAUGAAUAUAUUUUCCAGAAAAAACAAAUAAAAAA
RNAcentral lists this long non-coding RNA (226 nucleotides) under Lathyrus oleraceus (garden pea). RNAcentral's name for it is "Pisum sativum (pea) long non-coding RNA (PSAT_LNC037182)". The record is from RNAcentral. Lineage: Eukaryota; Viridiplantae; Streptophyta; Magnoliopsida; Fabales; Fabaceae.